RNAcentral lists this ribosomal RNA (561 nucleotides) under uncultured bacterium. Its description in RNAcentral is "partial 16S ribosomal RNA". It matches the Rfam family "Bacterial small subunit ribosomal RNA", at positions 355 to 912 of the family's 1533-position model. The record is from RNAcentral.
UGGGGAAUUUUGGACAAUGGGGCAACCCUGAUCCAGCAAUGCCGCGUGUGUGAAGAAGGCCUUCGGGUUGUAAAGCACUUUGUCCGGAAAGAAAUCGCCCUGGCUAAUAUCCGGGGUGGAUGACGGUACUGGAAGAAUAAGCACCGGCUAACUACGUGCCAGCAGCCGCGGUAAUACGUAGGGUGCGAGCGUUAAUCGGAAUUACUGGGCGUAAAGCGUGCGCAGGCGGUUGUGCAAGACAGAUGUGAAAUCCCCGGGCUUAACCUGGGAAUGGCAUUUGUGACUGCACGGCUAGAGUGUGUCAGAGGGGGGUAGAAUUCCACGUGUAGCAGUGAAAUGCGUAGAUAUGUGGAGGAACACCGAUGGCGAAGGCAGCCCCCUGGGAUAACACUGACGCUCAUGCACGAAAGCGUGGGGAGCAAACAGGAUUAGAUACCCUGGUAGUCCACGCCCUAAACGAUGUCAACUAGUUGUCGGGUCUUAAUUGACUUGGUAAACGCAGCUAACGCGUGAAGUUGACCGCCUGGGGAGUACGUCGCAAGAUUAAAACUCAAAUAAUUG